GUUACGUGAGAGUUGGUCUCACAUUCUAGUUUCUCUCUUCCAAGAAAAUUACAAAAAAGAAUAAUCUUCUUCUUCCUCUCAUCUUCUUUUUCCUUCUUUCAAAAAAUUGUGCAGAGCCCAUCACUUCUGCAUAUUCUUAUUUCCAAGAGAAUACAAAGGGUUCUCAACUGGUGGUGUCUUGGUUUGGAGAUCAAGAUCCAAAUCAAAGCGUUCAUGUUCAUGGAACAAGGGAUUUCGCAAAGAAAAUUAUUGUGCUUCAAGGGUCAUCAUAAAAAAAUAUUGCUAAAUCUUUUCAAAGUGAGAGAAGGAGGGAAGGCGCGCUACAACUGACAGAACAACCAAGACCUAAAAUUGACGCAACAAAGAUACGAAAAAAAUAUCCAUUAUAUUAUAAUGGCUUAUUACAUCAAUAACUUGACUUUGAUCAAGGUGAUUAAAAACAUCUGACACAGAAGUUCCAAAGAACAUAAUUGAUUGAUAAUCCGUGAUGGCAAGUAGUUCUUUACUUAAAGAAUCUAACCUAGCCAAGUC
Molecule: non-coding RNA, 531 nt
Organism: Benincasa hispida (wax gourd)
Lineage: Eukaryota; Viridiplantae; Streptophyta; Magnoliopsida; Cucurbitales; Cucurbitaceae
Source: RefSeq, a predicted model, not a curated record